RNAcentral lists this ribosomal RNA (543 nucleotides) under Anterastes serbicus. Its description in RNAcentral is "partial 16S ribosomal RNA". It matches the Rfam family "Bacterial large subunit ribosomal RNA", at positions 1806 to 2621 of the family's 2925-position model. The record is from RNAcentral. Lineage: Eukaryota; Metazoa; Arthropoda; Insecta; Orthoptera; Tettigoniidae.
AACAAAAACAUGGCCUUUAGGGGGAGAAUUUAAGGUCGGGCCUGCCCACUGAAGUAGUUGAAGGGCCGCGGUAUUUUGACCGUGCAAAGGUAGCAUAAUCAUUAGUCUUUUAAUUGAGGGCUGGAAUGAAUGGUUUGACGAAAUAUUGACUGUCUCUUUAUAAUAAAUGGAAUUUAACUUUUGAGUCAAAAGGCUUAAAUGAGUGUAAAAGACGAGAAGACCCUAUAGAUCUUUAUAUAGUUCUAUAAUUGCUUUAUUUAGUUGUUUUAUUUACAAUUAUUUAAUUAUAUUUUGUUGGGGUGACAUGAAGAUAAAAAUAACUCUUUAUAAUAAGAACAUUGAUUUAUGGAUGAUUGAUCCGUUAUUAACGAUUAUAAGAUAAAGUUACCUUAGGGAUAACAGCGUAAUUUUUUUUGAGAGUUCUUAUCGACAAAAAAGAUUGCGACCUCGAUGUUGGAUUAAGGAAUAUGAUUAGGUGUAGCAGUUUAAUUAAUAAGUCUGUUCGACUUUUAAAUCCUUACGUCAUCUGAGUUCAGACCCGGA